GAAAGUGAAAUCUGGGGCUUCCCGGGAGUCGGCGAUCAUAUAAAAUGGUCAACGAAUUCCGGAUUAGUGCUCAUUUGAAAGUGUUCGUUUUGUGCUCUUUUGAAAAGUGAAACUGAUGCUCAACUGAUAAAAACUUUACU
Non-coding RNA from Caenorhabditis elegans, 140 nucleotides. The record is from Ensembl. Lineage: Eukaryota; Metazoa; Nematoda; Chromadorea; Rhabditida; Rhabditidae.